RNAcentral lists this unclassified non-coding RNA (194 nucleotides) under rhizosphere metagenome. Its description in RNAcentral is "partial ribosomal RNA internal transcribed spacer region". The record is from RNAcentral.
GUUGGUGAACCAGCGGAGGGAUCAUUACCGAGUUAUAAACUCCAAACCCUUGUGAACAAUACCACUGUUGCUUCGGCAGGCGGGCCCAGGGCGGGCCUAUACAACGCCUGCCGAAAGACCCAAACUCUUCCAUCCUGCCCUCUGAAGAAAAAGACAAAUAGUUAAAACUUUCAACAACGGAUCUCUUGGUUCUG